UUGUGCCGCCAGGUGCACUGCUGAGUAGCUAAGUCCGGAAGAGAUAAGCGCUGAAAGCAUCUAAGCGCGAAACUCGCUCCAAGAUGAGACCUCCCAAGAGGGGCGUUCGAGACGAGGACGUAGAUAGGUGACAGGUGUAAGCGGUGAGAGCCGUUGAGCCGAGUCAUACUAAUACCCCGAUAGGCUUCUUUGC
RNAcentral lists this ribosomal RNA (193 nucleotides) under Thermonema lapsum. Its description in RNAcentral is "Bacterial large subunit ribosomal RNA". It matches the Rfam family "Bacterial large subunit ribosomal RNA", at positions 2721 to 2925 of the family's 2925-position model. The record is from Rfam by way of RNAcentral. Lineage: Bacteria; Pseudomonadati; Bacteroidota; Cytophagia; Cytophagales; Thermonemataceae.